GAUGAACGCUGGCGGCGUGCCUAAUACAUGCAAGUCGAGCGAACAGAUGAGGAGCUUGCUCCUCUGACGUUAGCGGCGGACGGGUGAGUAACACGUGGAUAACCUACCUAUAAGACUGGGAUAACUUCGGGAAACCGGAGCUAAUACCGGAUAAUAUAUUGAACCGCAUGGUUCAAUAGUGAAAGACGGUUUUGCUGUCACUUAUAGAUGGAUCCGCGCCGCAUUAGCUAGUUGGUAAGGUAACGGCUUACCAAGGCAACGAUGCGUAGCCGACCUGAGAGGGUGAUCGGCCACCCUGGAACUGAGACACGGUCCCGACUCCUACGGGAGGCAGCAGUAGGGAAUCUUCCGCAAGGGGCGAAAGCCUGACGGAGCAACGCCGCGUGAGUGAUGAAGGUCUUCGGAUCGUAAAACUCUGUUAUUAGGGAAGAACAAAUGUGUAAGUAACUAUGCACGUCUUGACGGUACCUAAUCAGAAAGCCACGGCUAACUACGUG
This 497-nucleotide ribosomal RNA is filed under the name uncultured bacterium. Its description in RNAcentral is "partial 16S ribosomal RNA". It matches the Rfam family "Bacterial small subunit ribosomal RNA", at positions 28 to 507 of the family's 1533-position model. The record is from RNAcentral.